ACGCUGGCGGCGUGCUUAACACAUGCAAGUCGAACGCUGAUGGCCCAGCUUGCUGGGUUGGAUGAGUGGCGAACGGGUGAGUAACACGUGAGUAACCUGCCCCCUUCUUUGGGAUAACGGUUGGAAACGGCUGCUAAUACCGGGUAUUCACUGUCCUUCGCAUGGGGGGUGGUGGAAAGGUUUUUUCUGGUGGGGGAUGGGCUCGCGGCCUAUCAGCUUGUUGGUGGGGUGAUGGCUUACCAAGGCUUUGACGGGUAACCGGCCUGAGAGGGUGACCGGUCACAUUGGGACUGAGAUACGGCCCAGACUCCUACGGGAGGCAGCAGUGGGGAAUAUUGCACAAUGGGCGAAAGCCUGAUGCAGCGACGCCGCGUGAGGGAUGGAGGCCUUCGGGUUGUAAACCUCUUUCGCUCAUGGUCAAGCCGCAACUUGGGUUGUGGUGAGGGUAGUGGGUAAAGAAGCACCGGCUAACUACGUGCCAGCAGCCGCGGUAAUACGUAGGGUGCGAGCGUUGUCCGGAAUUAUUGGGCGUAAAGGGCUUGUAGGCGGUUUGUCGCGUCUGCCGUGAAAUCCUCUGGCUUAACUGGGGGCGUGCGGUGGGUACGGGCAGGCUUGAGUGCGGUAGGGGAGACUGGAACUCCUGGUGUAGCGGUGGAAUGCGCAGAUAUCAGGAAGAACACCGGUGGCGAAGGCGGGUCUCUGGGCCGUUACUGACGCUGAGGAGCGAAAGCGUGGGGAGCGAACAGGAUUAGAUACCCUGGUAGUCCACGCUGUAAACGUUGGGCACUAGGUGUGGGGGCCAUCCCGUGGUUUCUGCGCCGUAGCUAACGCUUUAAGUGCCCCGCCUGGGGAGUACGGCCGCAAGGCUAAAACUCAAAGGAAUUGACGGGGGCCCGCACAAGC
This 903-nucleotide ribosomal RNA is filed under the name uncultured bacterium. Its description in RNAcentral is "bacterial SSU rRNA". It matches the Rfam family "Bacterial small subunit ribosomal RNA", at positions 33 to 930 of the family's 1533-position model. The record is from RNAcentral.